CCUACGGGAGGCAGCAGUGGGGAAUAUUGCACAAUGGGGGAAACCCUGAUGCAGCGACGCCGCGUGAGUGAAGAAGUAAUUCGUUACGUAAAGCUCUAUCAGCAGGGAAGAAACACUGACCUUACGGUCAGCAGACGGUAGCUGAGUAAGAAGCACCGGCUAACUACGUGCCAGCAGCCGCGGUAAUACGUAGGGGGCCAGCGUUAUCCGGAUUUAUUGGGUGUAAAGGGAGCGUAGACGGCAGUGCAAGUCUGGAGUGAAAGGCGGGGGCUCAACCCCCGGACUGCUCUGGAAACUGUACGGCUGGAGUGCAGGAGAGGUAAGUGGAAUUCCUAGUGUAGCGGUGAAAUGCGUAGAUAUUAGGAGGAACACCAGUGGCGAAGGCGGCUUACUGGACUGUAACUGACGUUGAGGCUCGAAAGCGUGGGGAGCGAACAGGAUUAGAUACCCUAGUAGUC
RNAcentral lists this ribosomal RNA (458 nucleotides) under uncultured bacterium. RNAcentral's name for it is "partial 16S ribosomal RNA". It matches the Rfam family "Bacterial small subunit ribosomal RNA", at positions 338 to 795 of the family's 1533-position model. The record is from RNAcentral.